Molecule: transfer RNA, 72 nt
Filed under: Roseovarius albus
Lineage: Bacteria; Pseudomonadati; Pseudomonadota; Alphaproteobacteria; Rhodobacterales; Roseobacteraceae
Rfam family: tRNA
About the family: Transfer RNA (tRNA) molecules are approximately 80 nucleotides in length. Their secondary structure includes four short double-helical elements and three loops (D, anti-codon, and T loops).
Source: Rfam by way of RNAcentral
GCGCCCGUAGCUCAGUGGCAGAGCACCCGCCUUUUAAGCGGUAGGCCGUGGGUUCGACCCCCACCGGGCACU